RNAcentral lists this unclassified non-coding RNA (262 nucleotides) under Stictidaceae sp. RNAcentral describes it as "partial contains 5.8S ribosomal RNA, internal transcribed spacer 2, and large subunit ribosomal RNA". Lineage: Eukaryota; Fungi; Ascomycota; Lecanoromycetes; Ostropales; Stictidaceae. The record is from RNAcentral.
CGCACAUUGCGCCCUCUGGUAUUCCGGGGGGCAUGCCUGUUCGAGCGUCAUUUUCACCCCUCAAGCUCAGCUUGGUCUUGGGUGCUCGUCCUCCUCCCCCGGGAGAGGGCGCGCCCGAAAUUCAGCGGCGGUGCGGCCGAACCCCCUAGCGCAGUGACUUGUUUUCAAACGCUACAAGGAGUUCGAGUUCGUCCCGGCCGGACAACAACCAAAUUUUAUCACGAUUGACCUCGGAUCAGGUAGGGAUACCCGCUGAACUUAA